Molecule: ribosomal RNA, 494 nt
Filed under: uncultured bacterium
Lineage: Bacteria
Description: partial 16S ribosomal RNA
Rfam family: Bacterial small subunit ribosomal RNA
Source: RNAcentral
GACGAACGCUGGCGGCGUGCUUAACACAUGCAAGUCGAACGGUGAAGCGCCUUCCUUUUUGGUGGGUGUGGAUGAGUGGCGAACGGGUGAGUAACACGUGAGUAACCUGCCCCCUUCUUCUGGAUAACCGCAUGAAAGUGUGGCUAAUACGGGAUAUUCUGGGUCUGUCGCAUGAUGGGUCUGGGAAAGAUAUUGUUUCGGUGGGGGAUGGGCUCGCGGCCUAUCAGCUUGUUGGUGGGGUGAUGGCCUACCAAGGCGGUGACGGGUAGCCGGCCUGAGAGGGUGGACGGUCACACUGGGACUGAGACACGGCCCAGACUCCUACGGGAGGCAGCAGUGGGGAAUAUUGCACAAUGGGCGCAAGCCUGAUGCAGCGACGCCGCGUGAGGGAUGGAGGCCUUCGGAUUGUGAACCUCUUUCGCCAGUGAAGCAGGCCUGCCUCGUUUGUGGGUGGGUUGACGGUAGCUGGAGAAGAAGCGCCGGCUAACUACGUG